RNAcentral lists this ribosomal RNA (253 nucleotides) under uncultured bacterium. Its description in RNAcentral is "partial 16S ribosomal RNA". It matches the Rfam family "Bacterial small subunit ribosomal RNA", at positions 524 to 776 of the family's 1533-position model. The record is from RNAcentral.
UACGAAGGGGGCUAGCGUUGUUCGGAAUUACUGGGCGUAAAGCGCGCGUAGGCGGACGCUUAAGUCAGGGGUGAAAUCCCGGGGCUCAACCCCGGAACUGCCUCUGAUACUGGACGUCUCGAGUGCAGGAGAGGUGAGUGGAAUUGCGAGUGUAGAGGUGAAAUUCGUAGAUAUUCGCAAGAACACCAGUGGCGAAGGCGGCUCACUGGCCUGUAACUGACGCUGAUGCGCGAAAGCGUGGGGAGCAAACAGG